AUUGAACGCUGGCGGCAGGCCUAACACAUGCAAGUCGAGCGCGAAAGUCCUUCGGGAUGAGUAAAGCGGCGGACGGGUGAGUAACGCGUAGGAAUCUACCUGAUAGUGGGGGAUAACGUUUCGAAAGGAACGCUAAUACCGCAUACGUUCUGAGGAAGAAAGCAGGGGCUCGCAAGACCUUGCGCUAUCAGAUGAGCCUGCGUCCGAUUAGCUAGUUGGUGGGGUAAAGGCCUACCAAGGCGACGAUCGGUAACUGGUCUGAGAGGAUGAUCAGUCACACUGGAACUGAGACACGGUCCAGACUCCUACGGGAGGCAGCAGUGGGGAAUAUUGGACAAUGGGGGCGAACCCUGAUCCAGCCAUGCCGCGUGUGUGAAGAAGGCCUUCGGUU
RNAcentral lists this ribosomal RNA (391 nucleotides) under uncultured bacterium. RNAcentral's name for it is "bacterial SSU rRNA". It matches the Rfam family "Bacterial small subunit ribosomal RNA", at positions 30 to 423 of the family's 1533-position model. The record is from RNAcentral.